This 439-nucleotide ribosomal RNA is filed under the name uncultured bacterium. Its description in RNAcentral is "partial 16S ribosomal RNA". It matches the Rfam family "Bacterial small subunit ribosomal RNA", at positions 339 to 795 of the family's 1533-position model. The record is from RNAcentral.
CUACGGGACGCAGCAGUGAGGAAUAUUGCACAAUGGAGGAAACUCUGAUGCAGCAACGCCGCGUGGAGGAUGACGCAUUUCGGUGUGUAAACUCCUUUUAUAUGUCAAGAAAAUGACGGUAGCAUAUGAAUAAGCACCGGCUAACUCCGUGCCAGCAGCCGCGGUAAUACGGAGGGUGCAAGCGUUACUCGGAAUCACUGGGCGUAAAGGACGCGUAGGCGGGUUGGAAAGUCAGGUGUGAAAUCCUACAGCUUAACUGUAGAACUGCACUUGAAACUUCUAACCUAGAGUAUGGGAGGGGGAGAUGGAAUUAGUGGUGUAGGGGUAAAAUCCGUAGAUAUCACUAGGAAUACCUAAAGCGAAGGCGAUCUCCUGGAACAUUACUGACGCUAAGGCGUGAAAGCGUGGGGAGUAAACAGGAUUAGAUACCCGGGUAGUC